CCUACGGGUGGCAGCAGUGGGGAAUCAUGGACAAUGGGGGGAACCCUGAUCCAGCGACGCCGCGUGAGUGAAGAAGUAUCUCGGUAUGUAAAGCUCUAGCAGCAGGGAAGAAAGAAAUGACGGUACCUGACUAAGAAGCCCCGGCUAACUACGUGCCAGCAGCCGCGGUAAUACGUAGGGGGCAAGCGUUAUCCGGAUUUACUGGGUGUAAAGGGAGCGUAGACGGCUGAGCAAGUUUGAAGUGAAAGGCGGGGGCGCAACCCCCGGACUGCUUUGGAAACUGUAUAGCUAGAGUGAAGGAGAGGUAAGUGGAAUUCGCAGUGUAGCGGUGAAAUGCGUAGAUAUUAGGAGGAACACCAGUGGCGAAGGCGGCUUACUGGACUGUAACUGACGUUGAGGCACGAAAGCGAGGGGAGCAAACAGGAUUAGAUACCCCUGUAGUC
Molecule: ribosomal RNA, 443 nt
Filed under: uncultured bacterium
Lineage: Bacteria
Description: partial 16S ribosomal RNA
Rfam family: Bacterial small subunit ribosomal RNA
Source: RNAcentral